GUUGACUGAUGGUCUUUGACAAAGACAGACUUGUUUUUGUGAGCUCUGAAAAAAAUUUGACUUUGAAAUAUUUUUACGAUUAAAAAGUUUCAGUUGACUUUUGAACGUUAACGAAGACGGACGUACUUUCGUGAGCUCUGACUAUUGAUGAAAAGUUUUGAGUUUUACUGACUUGUACUUUGAGAGUAAAAUUGACUUCGCGUUAUAGAAUAGCGACUUGGUACUCAGGUUGUUGAAUGACUGGAUGACUGUAGUGUUAGGUUAUUGUUAUGAGAUAACAACUUGACUUUGACUUGAGUUGUGAAAUAAAAUCAUACUCUUGAACGUUUAGUAUGGACUGACAACGAACUUUUGUGAGCGUUAUAUAUGAAAUGUUUGACUUACAUUAAUUUUUUUGAACGACUUGACUUCAAUUUAAGUUUUGACAUCGGACUGAUCGGACGUGUUUUUUUAAGCCCUGACUGUUGUGAAUAAUUAAAUUUAUGUUGUGGUGUCAAGCGAUUGACUGUCAGUUGAGGUUCAGAUGUCGAGCUGUGCGGACGUGUUCAUCGAGCUGCUGUCUACAAAAAACGGGGCUGUGGUGAGUAUUGUAGAAUAAAUUUAUUGUAUUAUGGAAUAAAUUAACGAUGCUAAAUGAAAACUGUUAUUGUACACUUUGUAUGGAUAAACGUGUAUGACCACUCUGUCGGUUGGUUUUCAUGAAAGCAUAAAUUAUGUGAAUGAUGAUAUGAAGGGUAGAAUUCAUCAGUGCUUGUGUCUAGAAAUGCUGAAUGUUUAUUGAAAAGGCUAAAUGCUAGCCAGUACUAAGAGUUGAGCUACCGUGGGAAUGUGAAACGAACUGAUGGUGUAAUAUGAUGGUGUAUUGACAUACUUUUCUUAUAUGUACUAAAUAUGAUAUUGCUUUACUUGUAUUUGCAUGCUGUUAACAUUUUUAUUUUGUUCCAGUGUGCUGUGGUGAGUACUGUAGAUAUUACUUGAUUUUUAGUGUCUAUGAAUGCUGAUGUAUGAUAGCUAUAGCAUGAGCUCAAUGCUAACCAGUAUUAUGAGUUGAUGUAUUGUGGUGAUGCUAAUCGAACUGAUGAUGUAACAUGAUGGUGAACACUUACUGAAUGCAUAAAAUUUAUUGAAUUGCGUUUGUUGAUAUGCACUAUAAUAUGAUAAAUGUAUUGCUUAACAUGUAUAUUUCAUGAUGUUUAAUUUCAGUGGGCUGUGGUGAGUACUGUAGAUUGUAUUGCCUAUGUAUAGAAUUCAAUAAAAGAUUAUGACUGAAAACUGCUUUUGAUUCUUUUUGAACAGUUUUAGGGACUAUAAGUCUAUAACAAAAAUAUGUCGGUUGGCGUUCAUACAGCAAUGUUUUGAGUAGUACAGAAAUGUUUCUACGUUUGUGGUCGCCAGUUGUCUGUGAUGUGUAAAGUGAAAAAUACACGGAGCUUUGAAUACAACAAACAUUUACUGUUUUAACACAGAUUGUGUGCUAUGCAUUUUUCGAUGUAGAUCUUUUUCAGAUUUGACAUGAAAUGUAGACCUGACAUUUGAACAGAGCUGGGAAACGAAAAGGUAAGUUUGUUAAAUUUCACAAUGAACACUUGUGUUUUGACAAAAGAAGAGAUAAAGUGAGUUUUGUCAUCAUCAUGGUUUCUUUCAGAGUAUAACUCGUGAACAGAUGAAAACCUAUUUUUUGCUAGAUUUUCAUGUACUCUUUUUUUGGAUGAUAAGUAUGUCAGUAACUCAAAAUCAUACGGCUAGUACAGUAUGGAACAUGAAUGCUUUGUUCAGAUUUUCAGAUGUGUGCUGGCAGUUUAAGUCUGGCAGCUGAAGUGAACAGUCGUGUUUUCUGGAGCUCCAACAAUAUGCUAGAAGGUAAGUAACUAUGUUUGUUUUGCAUUGCAUGUUUUUAUAUGUUUCAGACUUUCAAGCAGAGAUGUCAUGCUGACUGGAGUUGAGCACAGGGCAGUGACAAAGUGAAAGGUAAGUACUUUUGACUGAAUGUUUGUUCUAUGCAUGUUUUGUUUCAAUACAUUUCAGGAGUGCUUAUCCAGUGAUGAUAUGACAGUUGGAGUGAACAGUGGAGCCAAGCAGUCUUGUUUUUGGAGCUACUCAACAAGCCUUGAAGGUAAGUUUAGAAUUUCUCAAUGUUAGUGAAUUGAAGUACUGUCACUUGCUUUUGGACAGUCGAACAGAACAGACGUGGUUGCGAGAGCUCUCAUAUCUGUUGUGUUAAACUGUUUUUAUGAUAUGUUAUGUUUGUUUGUUUGUUUGUGAUGUACUAUUUUUCAGAUGCUGAUGGCAGUGAUGGGUUUUCAAGCUGACCUGAACAGAAAAGCACUCAUAUGGUAAGUACAAAAUAGUUGUUAUAUGGGAUGUUUUGUGCAUGCUUUUAUGUUUCAGGUGUACUUGCUGACAGCGACGAAGACGAAUCAAGAAGAGGAACAUUGUUGAGAAAGUGAUUGGGACUUGAAAACAGGGUAAGUGUAACACUUGUGUUUGUUUAAUUUGUAACAUGCGUGCUUUGCUCUGUUUCAGAUUUCACAUGCAGAAAUUAAACAGGAUUUCAACUGCUGAGACACAAAUCAUCAAAAGUAAGGUAAGUUUUAAUCCAUUGAUUUGAGUUGUACAAUGUGUUCUUUACUUUAUUUCAGAUUCGAGUCACUGGUUUACACAUGGAAGAAGAUUUCCACGUCUGUUACUCAACUCUACAGAAGCAAGGUAAGUCGAUCAAAUUUUUGUUUUCAUUUGUACUGCUGUAAUGUGAUGGUAAACUUAUGCUAUUUUUCAUGUGUGUCAUGUACAGAUGGAUAAUUCAAGUUUGAUCUGUGUUGGUUUAUGUUCAAAAACGUUUUACAUGUAUGUGUGUUUGAAGAUGUUUUGUUUCAGUGGAUGUCCAGAUGGCAAGCAGUACAGACGUGUUUCUUGGAGCUGCCAAACAGUGAGUACAAACGUUUUAUAUUUUUCAGUUGUUUACUCAUAGAAGUCUGUGAAAGAUGAUAACAAGGGUUGAAUCUAUCAGUACUUGUGUCUAAAAAUGCUGAUGUGUGACGGUUUACUGAAAAGGGUAAAUGCUAGCCAGUACUAACACUUGAGCAACCGUGGGAUGUCGAACUAACUGAUGAUGCACUAUGAUGGUGAACACUUACUAUGUGUAUCGAAAUGCUUUUGUUGAUAUUUAUUAUAGAUGAUUUGAUAUUGGUUAACAUUUGUUUGCAUGCUGUUAACAUUUCUAUUUCAUUUCAGGGAGCUGUGGUGAGUAUUGUAGUAUACAUUUGUUUCAAUAAUGUUUGAGUAGUACAAAAAUGUCUUUACUUUUGUGAUCGCCAGUUGUCUGUGAUAUGUAACGUAAACAAAAAACACAGCUAUAAAGCAUACAAUUGUUUCGAAAUUUUAUCAAUGAUUGUAUACUAUGCAUGUUUUGAUUUAGUUCGUUUCAGAUAUGACAUGACAUGAAGAGUUGACAGUCGAACAGAGCUGAGCAAUGCAGAAAGGUAAGUGUGUUUCAUUUUUAGUAUGAACACUUGUAUUUUGUUUUUAUAUGGUAUGUUUUGUGCAAGCUAUGUUUCAGGUGUACUUGUAGUCAGCGACGAAGACGAUUCAAGAAGAGGAACAUUGCUGAGAAAGUGAAUGGGACAUGCAAACAGGGUAAGUGUUACAAUUGUUGGUUUGAUUUUUACCAUGCAUACUUUGCUUUACUCUGUUUCAGAUUUCACAUGCAGAAAUGGUCUCAUAGCAGUGCCAACAGUGAAUAAGGAUUUCAUCUGCUGUGAAACAACUCAACAGAAAGUAGGUAAGCAUUGAAUGAAUGCACUUGAGCUGUACAAUUUGAUGUGAUGCUUUUCUCUGUUUCAGAUUCAAGUUCCUGGUGUAGACAGAGAAAUGUGUUUGAAGAAGGAAUUCUACUACUGUGAUUCAACUCUACAGAAGCAAGGUAAGUAGAAACAAAAUUUUGGUUUAAUUUAACUCAUGUGUUUUGCACUGCAUGCUAUUUUUCAGGUCUCUCGUGCAGUGAUGGAAAAGAAGAAGAUUUCAAGAAAGAAUCACUGCUGCAACUCAGGCCUAUAACAAGGUAAGUGUUUACUAUAUUGUAUACAAAAUGUUUCUCUGUUUUACUCUGUUUCAGGUUUCAAUUGCAAAGAUGUUGCAGAGAUGUUUUGACAGCUUGAGACAGAAAAGAAAUUCAGCAGCUGUGUCUCGACUCUAGCCACGAGGUAAGUCAAAACAAAUAUACUGGUUUGUAUGUAAUGUUGUUAUGCCCUUCUAUGUUUCAGACUUACAUUGCUGUGACUGUUCCACAGUGGGUCAAAAAAGAGACGAAUACAGGUUUCAAGAAGAAAAUUGGCUGUUGAAAACCUGCACAAAAUAUGAGGUAAGUAAACUAUUCUUUUGGUUUGUUUUGUGCUUUGUUAUGCUUGACUAUUUUUCAGAUUGGAAUGGUGGGUCGUUACAGAGCAGACUUUUGGACAACUGAGAAGUUGAGAAACAGAGAAUGAUUCAAUAUCAGCUAGGUAAGUCUUGAUUAUUCUGCAUUGUAAAAUGUGUUUCUUUUUCAUUUCAGUAUGGCUGUGGUAAGUACACUAACUUUCUAUAAUUUCAUAUUGAACUGUUUUGAUGACUUGUAUUAUGCAUUGCUAAAUGUUUUUUUCAUUUCAGUAUCCUGUGGUAAGUACACUAACUUUCUAUAAUUUCAUAUUGAACUGUUUUGAUGAUUUGUAUACUGCUAUGCAUUGCUAAAUGUUUUUUUCAUUUCAGUAUAGCUGUGGUAAGUACACUAACUUUCUUUAAUUUUCAUAUUGAACUGUUUUGAUGACUUGUAUUCUGCUAUACAAAAUGUGCUUUUUUCAAUUUCAGGUCAGCAAUGGUAAGUAUAUUGUGUUUCUUUAUGUAUAAUUUUGUAUACAUAUUGUUUUUUUCAUCAUAGCAUGUUUUUUAUAUUUAUGCUUUGUGUAAGUAAAAUGUUCAUAAAUCAUUCUUAUCUUUAAACUAAAAAUGUAUUUUGAUAUGCAAAAUGUCUGUAUGAUUUCAGUUGCCAGAGGUGAGUACCAUUACAGUUGAAAAGUUAGUUUUGUUUAGUUAAAGUUUUGGUUCACAGUUCUGUUUAUUAUUUGGCAAAAUUUACAUGUAUGCAUUGAGUCUUGAUUUCAGCUCGAUUGUGGACUGAAGAAGAUUGCCAGCAGAGGGAUUGGAUACAAAAUACAAACCCUACUACAAGACGAGUGUUUUCUACUACUAGACGUGUCAGGUUUACUUCCAGGCGAGCAGUGACAACAAGGCGCCUUUGUGGAAACAGCAAAACAAACAACUCUACUGCAAGACGAGCAGUAACAGCAAGGCGCCUGAACAUGCAACACAAUACAAAAAAUGCCAAUUUGCAAACCUUGAUGUGGACACCGAGUAGUCAAUACAUACGUGUGGCGUAUAGCUGCGACAAAACCGUGGGUCCAUCGCACCGAUAACUUGAACAUUGGCCCGUGUAUGGACAUCAGUGCAACUUUGUGAAUCCAUGUAUCUUUGUGAAUCCAUGUAACAUUGCGAAUGUGUGUCGAUCGAAAAAUGUGUACAUUCUGAACUGAACAGAACUCGGUGUUGCAAGUGGCAAGUGUUGACAGUGUGUAUGUUUAUGUUUAUGUUUUUACAUGAAAACUAAAGGAGAUUGUUCUCCUACCUUUUUUUUCCUUGUUUUAUUGCGCUGGCCAGCAAUAUUGAUGUAUUGAUGUAUGUGUUUGUGUUUAAACUAUGCAAUACCAAAAUCAAACAAAAAUAAACAUUAACAGUCAUUAACUGUGUUUGGGCGGCCGAGGGGUUUAAGACUCCACAAGUGUGAAGCGCACUGAUAGCACUUGGGGGUGAACACCUCGGUAUUUCGGUGCUAAAAUGUUUUCACGGUGCUUAUCUUGACGCACUGUUAAGACUACCAACCAGUUAAUGAUUGCUUCAUCUUUAAACAAAAAGUAAGUCUCUACUUUGGCACAAGAGACUCCAAGUACCAAAUACCAACAAUUAAAAAGCAGACGUUUUUCAAAACUAUGAUCGCUGAGAUUGAUAGUCAGAUGGAGUCCUGCCCAUUUAGCUGUGUAGCGGUCUAGGGCGGGG
This is a long non-coding RNA of Dreissena polymorpha, 6081 nucleotides long. RefSeq lists it as uncharacterized. The transcript has 5 exons. The record is from RefSeq and is a predicted model, not a curated record. Lineage: Eukaryota; Metazoa; Mollusca; Bivalvia; Myida; Dreissenidae.